AUACGUAGGGGGCGAGCGUUGUCCGGAAUGAUUGGGCGUAAAGGGCGCGUAGGCGGCGCGGUAAGUCUGGAGUGAAAGUCCUGCUUUCAAGGUGGGAAUUGCUUUGGAUACUGCCGCGCUUGAGUGCAGGAGAGGUCAUCGGAAUUCCCGGUGUAGCGGUGAAAUGCGUAGAGAUCGGGAGGAACACCAGUGGCGAAGGCGGGUAACUGGACUGCAACUGACGCUGAGGCGCGAAAGUGUGGGGAGCAAACAGGAUUAGAUACCCUGGUAGUCCACACUGUAAACGAUGAAUGCUAGGUGUAAGAGGUAUCGACCCCUUUUGUGCCGGAGUCAACACAAUAAGCAUUCCGCCUGGGGAGUACGGCCGCAAGGUUGAAACUCAAAGGAAUUGACGGGG
This 397-nucleotide ribosomal RNA is filed under the name uncultured bacterium. Its description in RNAcentral is "partial 16S ribosomal RNA". It matches the Rfam family "Bacterial small subunit ribosomal RNA", at positions 523 to 918 of the family's 1533-position model. The record is from RNAcentral.